GCCAGGCAUGGUGGUGCAUGCCUGUAAUCUCAACUACUUGGGAGGCAGAGGCAGGAGACUCGCUUGAACCCAGGAAGUGAAGGUUGCAGUGAGCCGAGAUGGCAACACUGCACUCCAGCCUGGGCUACAGAGUGAGACUCUGUCUCAA
Pongo abelii (Sumatran orangutan) is the source of this 148-nucleotide unclassified non-coding RNA. It matches the Rfam family "Metazoan signal recognition particle RNA". From Rfam's summary of the family: The signal recognition particle (SRP) is a universally conserved ribonucleoprotein. It is involved in the co-translational targeting of proteins to membranes. Lineage: Eukaryota; Metazoa; Chordata; Mammalia; Primates; Hominidae. The record is from Ensembl.